GACGAACGCUGGCGGCGUGCCUAAUACAUGCAAGUAGAACGCUGAAGAGAGGAGCUUGCUCUUCUUGGAUGAGUUGCGAACGGGUGAGUAACGCGUAGGUAACCUGCCUUGUAGCGGGGGAUAACUAUUGGAAACGAUAGCUAAUACCGCAUAACAAUGGAUGACACAUGUCAUUUAUUUGAAAGGGGCAAUUGCUCCACUACAAGAUGGACCUGCGUUGUAUUAGCUAGUAGGUGAGGUAACGGCUCACCUAGGCGACGAUACAUAGCCGACCUGAGAGGGUGAUCGGCCACACUGGGACUGAGACACGGCCCAGACUCCUACGGGAGGCAGCAGUAGGGAAUCUUCGGCAAUGGGGGCAACCCUGACCGAGCAACGCCGCGUGAGUGAAGAAGGUUUUCGGAUCGUAAAGCUCUGUCGUAAGUCAAGAACGAGUGUGAGAGUGGAAAGUUCACACUGUGACGGUAGCUUACCAGAAAGGGACGGCUAACUACGUGCCAGCAGCCGCGGUAAUACGUAGGUCCCGAGCGUUGUCCGGAUUUAUUGGGCGUAAAGCGAGCGCAGGCGGUUUGAUAAGUCUGAAGUUAAAGGCUGUGGCUCAACCAUAGUUCGCUUUGGAAACUGUCAAACUUGAGUGCAGAAGGGGAGAGUGGAAUUCCAUGUGUAGCGGUGAAAUGCGUAGAUAUAUGGAGGAACACCGGUGGCGAAAGCGGCUCUCUGGUCUGUAACUGACGCUGAGGCUCGAAAGCGUGGGGAGCGAACAGGAUUAGAUACCCUGGUAGUCCACGCCGUAAACGAUGAGUGCUAGGUGUUGGAUCCUUUCCGAGAUUCAGUGCCGCAGCUAACGCAUUAAGCACUCCGCCUGGGGAGUACGACCGCAAGGUUGAAACUCAAAGGAAUUGACGGGGGCCCGCACAAGCGGUGGAGCAUGUGGUUUAAUUCGAAGCAACGCGAAGAACCUUACCAGGUCUUGACAUCCCGAUGCUAUUUCUAGAGAUAGAAAGUUACUUCGGUACAUCGGUGACAGGUGGUGCAUGGUUGUCGUCAGCUCGUGUCGUGAGAUGUUGGGUUAAGUCCCGCAACGAGCGCAACCCCUAUUGUUAGUUGCCAUCAUUCAGUUGGGCACUCUAGCGAGACUGCCGGUAAUAAACCGGAGGAAGGUGGGGAUGACGUCAAAUCAUCAUGCCCCUUAUGACCUGGGCUACACACGUGCUACAAUGGUUGGUACAACGAGUUGCGAGUCGGUGACGGCAAGCUAAUCUCUUAAAGCCAAUCUCAGUUCGGAUUGUAGGCUGCAACUCGCCUACAUGAAGUCGGAAUCGCUAGUAAUCGCGGAUCAGCACGCCGCGGUGAAUACGUUCCCGGGCCU
Molecule: ribosomal RNA, 1369 nt
Filed under: uncultured bacterium
Lineage: Bacteria
Description: bacterial SSU rRNA
Rfam family: Bacterial small subunit ribosomal RNA
Source: RNAcentral